UCCGAGUUGACCCCGGCAGUCUCCUAUGAGUCCCCGGCAUUAUCCGCUGGCAACAUAGAACGAGGGUUGCGCUCGUUGCGGGACUUAACCCAACAUCUCACGACACGAGCUGACGACAACCAUGCACCACCUGUGCACGGCCCUUACGGACCUCCCAUCUCUGGAAGUUUUGCGGUGAUGUCAAACCCAGGUAAGGUUCUUCGCGUUGCAUCGAAUUAAUCCGCAUGCUCCGCCGCUUGUGCGGGCCCCCGUCAAUUCCUUUGAGUUUUAGCCUUGCGGCCGUACUCCCCAGGCGGGGCACUUAAUGCGUUAGCGUCGGCACGGGGGGAGUCGACACCCCCCACACCUAGUGCCCAUCGUUUACAGCGUGGACUAC
RNAcentral lists this unclassified non-coding RNA (376 nucleotides) under uncultured Actinomycetes bacterium. RNAcentral describes it as "uncultured actinobacterium contains 16S-23S intergenic spacer region". The record is from RNAcentral. Lineage: Bacteria; Bacillati; Actinomycetota; Actinomycetes.